GCGGCCUUAGCUAUGAUAUUGCUUGUUGGGUUAUUUGUCCGAACUAUAAUGAUAAUUACUGGAGGGAGCAAGAAUAUACGUGCAUAAGACGCCGGACAUGAACAUUACUUUUGUCCAGCUAAACUUCCGGUUAUCACUACAAAUGUCAAAAAGUCUGAAAAGACCAAUUUUUUUUUCUGAACUUGCAUGCAUUUUUUUCCACAUGCUCUCUUUGUCUAAAAUUUUAGUAAUUUU
RNAcentral lists this long non-coding RNA (234 nucleotides) under Mytilus galloprovincialis (Mediterranean mussel). Lineage: Eukaryota; Metazoa; Mollusca; Bivalvia; Mytilida; Mytilidae. The record is from RNAcentral.